Falco peregrinus (peregrine falcon) is the source of this 325-nucleotide long non-coding RNA. RefSeq lists it as uncharacterized. The record is from RefSeq and is a predicted model, not a curated record. The transcript has 3 exons. NCBI's taxonomy places the organism in Eukaryota, Metazoa, Chordata, Aves, Falconiformes, Falconidae.
GCUUAUGCUAGAGAGAAAAAGGAAAAGCCACCCUUUUUACCAGAGGAGCCCUCCUCCUCCUCCGCAGACAGGCCUGUUCCAAACGAGUUGUUAUGUCCCAUUUGUAAAGAUCCAGUGACGGAUGCAGCGCUUAUUCCAUGCUGUGGAGCAAGUUAUUGUGACGAAUGUAUUAGAACAGCUUUACUGGAAUCGGAGGAACAUACUUGCCCGGCGUGUCAUCAGACAGGUGUUUCUCCUGACGCUUUAGUUGCCAACAACUUCCUGCGCCAGGCUGUGAACAACUUCCACAAUGGAACCGGCUACACAACAGGGCUCCAUAAGGAGA